AUGUUUCCCUACCCAGGCCCUUUUCUUUCAGCUUGUUUGCCUGUUGAACCUUGUUACAUAAAAACAGUUAUCUUGGUGCUUUCAUUAGUGUUUCCAGCCCUGAGCAUGAACUGGUUUUCCUUCCUUAAUUUUUGCUGGUCACCGGAUUCGAAGUGCGCUUUCCUUAGAGCUACUGCGGCUAAUGGAAUGAUAUGCAAAUGUGCACACGCAUAUGUAUUAUGUGCUAGUAUUAAACUUUACUACAAUAACUGCCAUGUAACUUUUGUUUUUAUCAAGUUUGGGUUGCUUACCACAUGUAUGUGGUAA
Molecule: ribosomal RNA, 306 nt
Filed under: Triticum aestivum (bread wheat)
Lineage: Eukaryota; Viridiplantae; Streptophyta; Magnoliopsida; Poales; Poaceae
Description: partial small subunit ribosomal RNA
Source: RNAcentral